GAAUUCGCCCUUAGAGUUUGAUCCUGGCUCAGGAUGAACGCUAGCGGCAGGCCUAACACAUGCAAGUCGAGGGGUAACAGAAGUAGCUUGCUACUUGCUGACGACCGGCGCACGGGUGCGUAACGCGUAUACAAUCUACCUUUUGCUGAGGGAUAGCCCAGAGAAAUUUGGAUUAAUACCUCAUGGUAUGUAUUAAUGGCAUCAUUACUAUAUUAAAGGUUACGGCAAAAGAUGAGUAUGCGUUCUAUUAGCUAGAUGGUGUGGUAACGGCACACCAUGGCAACGAUAGAUAGGGGCCCUGAGAGGGGGAUCCCCCACACUGGUACUGAGACACGGACCAGACUCCUACGGGAGGCAGCAGUGAGGAAUAUUGGGCAAUGGAGGCAACUCUGACCCAGCCAUGCCGCGUGCAGGAAGACUGCCCUAUGGGUUGUAAACUGCUUUUAUACAGGAAGAAACACUCGGACGUGUCCGAGCUUGACGGUACUGUAAGAAUAAGGAUCGGCUAAACUCCGUGCCAGCAACCGCGGUAAUAAGGGCGAAUUC
RNAcentral lists this ribosomal RNA (546 nucleotides) under uncultured Bacteroidota bacterium. Its description in RNAcentral is "bacterial SSU rRNA". It matches the Rfam family "Bacterial small subunit ribosomal RNA", at positions 1 to 535 of the family's 1533-position model. The record is from RNAcentral. Lineage: Bacteria; Pseudomonadati; Bacteroidota.